Cricetulus griseus (Chinese hamster) is the source of this 101-nucleotide small nuclear RNA. The record is from Ensembl. NCBI's taxonomy places the organism in Eukaryota, Metazoa, Chordata, Mammalia, Rodentia, Cricetidae.
GUGUUUGCUUCGGCAGCACAUAGACUAAUAUCGGAAUGAUACAGGGAAGAUUAGCAUGGCCCUGUGCAAGGAUGACACGCAAAUUCCUGAAGCAUAUUUUU